AAUCGAACCCGGAGAUAGCUGGUUCUCCCCGAAAUAGCUUUAGGGCUAGCGUCGAGGUAGAGAGUUGCGUGAAGGUAGAGCACUGAAUAUGUGAUGGCCCCAUCUCGGGGUACUGAGCAUAAUCAAACUGCGAAUGUCACGGAAACAUACUCGGCAGUCAGACAGCGGGUGAUAAGGUCCGUUGUCAAGAGGGAAACAGCCCAGACCAUCAGCUAAGGUCCCAAAAUGUAUGCUAAGUGGAAAAGGAUGUGGAGAUGUACAGACAACUAGGAGGUUGGCUCAGAAGCAGCCAUCCUUUAAAGAGUGCGUAACAGCUCACUAGUCGAAUGACUCUGCGCCGAUAAUUUACCGGGGCUAAGCAUACUACCGAAGCUAUGGAUCCCAAGGGAUGGUAGGGGAGCGUUCCAUGAACGGAGAAGCGCGAUCGAGAGGACGCGUGGAGAUCAUGGAAGAGAGAAUGCCGGUGUGAGUAGCGGAACGUGGGUGAGAAUCCCACGCACCGAAAACCCAAGGUUUCCAGAGGAAGGUUCGUCCGCUCUGGGUAAGUCGGGACCUAAGGCGAGGCCGAGAGGCGUAGUCGAUGGACAACAGGUAGAGAUUCCUGUACUCAUAUAUAUGUGAAGGAAUGACGGAGAGAGGAAGCUGCAGCCAGCGGCUGGAAGAGCUGGUGCAAGCGAGAUAUCGGGAUGGCAGGCAAAUCCACCAUCCGAAACGAGAAGGCGUGAAGCGUACGGAAAGCUAAGGCGAGUACGGAAGGCAGUGGAGGAGCUUCCAAGAAAAGUUUCUAACGAAAGUAUAUGUGACCCGUACCGAAAAUGGACACACAUGGGUGAGGAGAGAAUCCUAAGGUGAGCGAGAGAACUAUAGCUAAGGAACUCUGCAAAAUGACUCCGUAACUUAGGGAGAAGGAGUGCUCAUAGAGAUAUGAGCCGCAGUGAAACGGCCCAAGCGACUGUUUACCAAAAACACAGCUCUCUGCUAAGCCGCAAGGCGAAGUAUAGGGGGUGACGCCUGCCCGGUGCUGGAAGGUUAAGGGGAGGGGUUAACGCAAGUGAAGCCCUGAACUGAAGCCCCAGUAAACGGCGGCCGUAACUAUAACGGUCCUAAGGUAGCGAAAUUCCUUGUCAGGUAAGUUCUGACCCGCACGAAAGGCGUAACGAUUUGGGCGCUGUCUCAGCUGUAGACUCGGUGAAGUCUUAGUACCUGUGAAGAUGCAGGUUACCCGCGACUAGACGGAAAGACCCCAUGGAGCUUCACUGCAGGUUGAUAUUGGGAUUUGAUGCAGCAUGUACAGGAUAGGUAGGAGGCAAAGAGAUGGAUACGCCAGUAUUCAAGGAGCCGCUGUUGGGAUACUACCCCUGUUGUAUUGGAUUUCUAACCGGACGACGUAAAGCCGUUGACGGGACAGUGUCAGUCGGGCAGUUUGACUGGGGCGGUCGCCUCCCAAAGAGUAACGGAGGCGCCCAAAGGUUCCCUCAGAAUGGUUGGAAAUCAUUCGAAGAGUGUAAAGGCAGAAGGGAGCUUGACUGCGAGACCUACAAGUCGAGCAGGGACGAAAGUCGGGCUUAGUGAUCCGGCGGUGCUGAAUGGAAAGGCCGUCGCUCAACGGAUAAAAGCUACCCUGGGGAUAACAGGCUGAUCUCCCCCAAGAGUUCACAUCGACGGGGAGGUUUGGCACCUCGAUGUCGGCUCAUCGCAUCCUGGAGCUGAAGUCGGUUCCAAGGGUUGGGCUGUUCGCCCAUUAAAGCGGUACGCGAGCUGGGUUCAGAACGUCGUGAGACAGUUCGGUCCCUAUCUGUCGUGGGCGCAGGAAAUUUGAGAAGAGCUGUCCUCAGUACGAGAGGACCGGGAUGGACGCAUCAAUGGUGGACCAGUUGUCACGCCAGUGGCAUAGCUGGGUAGCUAAAUGCGGAAGGGAUAAACGCUGAAGGCAUCUAAGUGUGAAACCCACUUCAAGAUGAGAUUUCCCAUUGC
RNAcentral lists this ribosomal RNA (1974 nucleotides) under human gut metagenome. RNAcentral describes it as "bacterial LSU rRNA". It matches the Rfam family "Bacterial large subunit ribosomal RNA", at positions 831 to 2820 of the family's 2925-position model. The record is from RNAcentral.